Small nucleolar RNA from Dioscorea cayenensis subsp. rotundata (Guinea yam), 107 nucleotides. The record is from RefSeq and is a predicted model, not a curated record. Lineage: Eukaryota; Viridiplantae; Streptophyta; Magnoliopsida; Dioscoreales; Dioscoreaceae.
AAACCAUGUUGGGGACAUCUUCUAACUAGAUCCUUCAACCUCUUCCAAGUCUCAAAGAGUGAUUUAGAUUAGGCUUGUGAAAAGGAAGAGAUCUUAUUCCUCAGUUU